Monodelphis domestica (gray short-tailed opossum) is the source of this 1598-nucleotide long non-coding RNA. Lineage: Eukaryota; Metazoa; Chordata; Mammalia; Didelphimorphia; Didelphidae. The record is from Ensembl.
GGCAAGUGGGCAGAACCAAGAGAACAUUGUACAUGGUAACAGCAAAGAAGUUCAAAGAUCAACUGUGAAUGACUUUACUAUUAUCAAGAAUCUAAGGAUCCAGGACAAUUCUAAGGGACUUAUGAUGAAAAAGGCUGCAAUAGAAAGAACAAAAUCUGAAUGAAGAAUGAAGCAUGCCAUUCUUCACUUUAUUUCCUCCAUGAAUUUUUCUCUAGUGUGAUAUGUAUCUUCUUUCAUAAUGUGACCAAUGGAAAUAUGUAUAACAUAUGAUCAGCUUAUACCUUACUGCUUGCCAUCUUGGUUUGUAUUAGGGUUAAAAUAGAUUUGGGGUUAUUAAUUAAGAGUUGUUAACUGUGAAUAUCCUGUCAGGCUGUCAGACUGCCUGGGAUGGAACUUUGAGCUAAGGUCUUGCUUAGGAAUUCUGUGGGACCUGGAGGAGUUGGAAAUUCUGCUAAGACCAACUGUCUCUGGCUCCCUCCCUCCCUUCCUCUCUGUCUGUCUGUCUGUCUGCCUCUCUCUGUCUCUGUCUGUCUCUGUCUCUCUGUCUAUGUCUUUCUCUCUUUGUCUCUCUUUCUGUCUGUCUCUCUGUCUCUCUGUCUCUCUGUCUCUCUCUCUCUUUGUCUCUCUUCUCUCAGUCUCUCUUUCUCUUCUCUCUGUCUCUCUCUCUGCCUCUCUGUCUCUGUCUCUGUCUCUCUCUCAGUCUCUCUCUGUCUCUGUCUCUGUUUCUCUGUCUCUGUCUCUGUCUCUGUCUCUGUCUCUGUCUCUGUCUCUGUCUCUGUCUCUGCCUCUGUCUCUGUCUCUGUCUCUGUCUCUCUCUCUCUCUCUCUCUCUCUCUCUCUCUCUCUCUCUCUCUCUCUCUCUCUCUCUCUCUUUCUCUGUCUGUCUUCCCAAUGAAGGCUAUGGGCUCCUAUCUUUUGCCUUGUUUUGAAUGCCUGGUACCUAGUAGGUUCUUACUAAAAGCUUAUUGACUAAUUAAAUUUCAUUUCCAAGAAACCUGUAAAAACCAUCUAUGCCCUAUCCCUCCACCUCCUUAGAGAAACACUUUUAUCCUCAGGACCCAACUUUGGUCUCCAUUUAUUUUUAAACCAGUCAGAUAAGGGUUCUUUGUGGAACGUUCCAUUAACAUACCAAUGUAACUAACUAGAGCUUGUUCGGGGGAGAGGAGAGGACAUCCUCCCAGGUCUCCCUAGUUGUACCUAGGAUACUGUGGAUCACCACCCAAGGACCAACUCUGAAAAUUACAGUUGUUUUUUCCUCCAAUAAGAACUGAGGCAUUUGUACUGUGUUGGAAGACCCAGAGACCACAUGUAGAUUUAAGGGUACACAAAAUGACUGUGGAGCAUAGUUUUGUUUCUCCAACUGAAGCUAACUGGCCAUGUCUGGGAUUAGACUUGUAAUUUUGGCCUCAUUAGCACCAACUGAGUUAAACAGUCCACAAGCAAACUCAAUAGAGCCAUAAGCACCACCUUCAAGGUGUUAAAAGCAUCACAAAGGGAACAAAUUAAGGUUUGCUGAAUGUGAAAAGCCCCAACUGUUAGUGACAGAAUUACAUUUUUAAAUUUUCAAUGAGGGAUGCAGAAUGGGGGGGGGGAUCUAUU